Molecule: long non-coding RNA, 1957 nt
Organism: Planococcus citri (citrus mealybug)
Lineage: Eukaryota; Metazoa; Arthropoda; Insecta; Hemiptera; Pseudococcidae
Exons: 2
Source: RefSeq, a predicted model, not a curated record
UUCAUCGAGUGAAAGGAGUUUUUCAACUUUUUUUAGCAGAUAAGUACGUAAAAAUAGGGGUUAAAUGGGUCAACUUCACCAAUCAAAACUUUUUUUCACGUUUUAAAUAAAAAAAUCGCAUUCUUUCGCAAACUUUUAAUCACGAAAUAAUUUCAUCCCAAUUUUUUAACAUGUACAUUGUUCAGCAUGAAAAGUUGCCUAAUACCUAUAUUUUUUUCAGAAUGUUUGAGAGUCGGAAUGAUAUAUGAAAACUACGUUUUGAAAUUUUUCGAGCUGAUUUUUCACACGAAAAAAAGUGGCAACGCUGAUUUCUAUCACAUCACCAAAAGGCCUUUCAAAACCCCUAACUAUUGGAUAAGUUACAUUUUGGUAGGUAUCGCGGUUAUCGAGUAGGUAAUCCACUGCUGAAAAUAAAUGGAUAAUACUUUAAGUUCACUGAAAACUUAUUUACACCCCCAAGCAGCCUUCAAAAAAGGGCUUGAGGGCUGCGAUUUGCGUCCUUGGUCAUCCCUUCAAAAGGGCUUUCCACAGGAAAAAUUUUAAAAAAAAUAGCCAACCCCCCCCCCACUACUUGUUGGUCGAAUUGACGUGGAAUGACCCAGUUUAACAAGUAGUUCGCAAAUGCAUCAGUUAACUUCAUGUGAGUUAUAUGAAUGUUGCCUACUGAGAUGAAACGAAGGAAAAAUAUUAUAUUUCGAUAUGGCAAAUUCAUCGAGGUACUUUUACUUAUGAUAACAUUAUUUUUAAUAUGUAGGUACAUAGUUCAUUUCAUGAUUCUAACUAAUCAUACCUCGCUAUUUCAUAGAAUAAGUAGAUUCUUCAUACAUUACCUAGGUUAAGUGUGAAAAAUGUUCACGUGCAUUACUAAUUUUUCGUUAAUGUAUAUGAAUUAGGUAGGUAGUUAUUUCAUAGGUAGAUACAUAAUACCUGGAGUAAAUACAUUAACGGUUUGGAAUUCAUGGUAAAAAAAUUAACUUGAAUUUCAUUUCUAAAAGGAGCAUGUCCGAAAAAUGUAAAUUAAAAAAAAUAAUAAUCCCUUAUCAUCAACGCAUGCACGCCAAGAAUUAAGUUAUGGAGAGCAAUCAUUCUAUUCAAAGCUUUAUUUAGGUGAAUGGACUGUUGCAAUACAACACACGUAUCUUGCUUAGUUGUUUUGCUAAUAUCGCCCAUAACAUGAUGUAAUUUCAAAUACAUAAUUCAAAAUUGCGACAUCUACAAACAUUUUUUAUAUUUUUAUUUACUUAGGUAGGUAUGGUGCCAACUACGAAAUGUUGUUCCUUACCUAUAGGUAGGUAUGUCGUAAUACUUAAAAAAUUUAUUCUUUAUCAAUUAGGCUGUCACCAUUGUAACAAAAAUAGCACGAUUGUUUACUCGUUUUACAUUCGUGUGUAUGGUUGUGGUGGUAACUAUUUUUGUGCUUAUAAAUACCGAACACAAAACGUAUUAAUGCAUAUUCGGCUAAAAAGUUGCCUUCAAGUCCUGAUUGGCCAAGUAUUUUUUUUCGAAAAAAAACUCUGAUCAAGUUGACGAAAAAUUGGUAUCCGACUGAAUACGAUGUCCAAGUUUUUGACAGUUGCUAUAAUUGCGGUUUGUAUGCUGAGCUGCUUGCUUUUGGAGCAAGUUAGCGCUGCCCCUCGGAAAAAUCCUUAAGGAGUCUCGUCGCUCUAACGUUGAGUUUAUCGAGUAUGCACAGGAAAUCAAACUCUGAAGACGGACACACAUAUGAAGAAAAAUCAUUUAUUUACCUAUUUCAGUAUCAUAGGUAAUGGAAUUCAAAUAAAUCAUUUCGUUCUUUUUAUUUUAUAUAAAAAAAAAAGUUUACAUUAAGUAUCUACACACAUUAUAAGUAUAUACCUAUAACAGCUAUGAUUCUGUAACACACAAUAUUAUUCAAAAUGUGCUUUUUUUGAUGAAUUGUACAUUAUUAUAAGAAUCAGAAUAAAGCAUUAUUAAUCAA